RNAcentral lists this ribosomal RNA (662 nucleotides) under Corethron pennatum. RNAcentral's name for it is "partial Eukaryotic large subunit ribosomal RNA". It matches the Rfam family "Eukaryotic large subunit ribosomal RNA", at positions 27 to 679 of the family's 3401-position model. Lineage: Eukaryota; Bacillariophyta; Corethrophyceae; Corethrales; Corethraceae. The record is from RNAcentral.
GCUGAACUUAAGCAUAUCAAUAAGCGGAGGAAAAGAAACUAACAAGGAUUCCCCUAGUAACGGCGAGUGAAGCGGGAAGAGCUCAAAUUUGAAAUCUGGUAGCCUUCGGUUGCCCGAGUUGUAAUCUAGAGAAGUGUUUUCCGCGUUGGCCCAUGUACAAGUCCCUUGGAACAGGGCGUCAUAGAGGGUGAGAAUCCCGUCCUUGACAUGGACCCCCAAUGCUUUGUGAUACACUUUCAACGAGUCGAGUUGUUUGGGAAUGCAGCUCAAAAUGGGUGGUGAAUUCCAUCUAAAGCUAAAUAUUGGCGAGAGACCGAUAGCGAACAAGUACCGUGAGGGAAAGAUGAAAAGCACUUUGGAAAGAGAGUUAAACAGUACGUGAAAUUGUUGAAAGGGAAACGAUUGAAGUCAGUCAUGCUCUUUGGAUUAAGCCGUUCUGCGGUGUAUUUCAUUGAGCGGGGUCAACAUCAGUUUUGAUCGCUGGAAAAGGGCAGGAGGAAGGUAGCACUCUCGGGUGAACUUAUAGCCUCUUGUCGUAUACAGUGAUUGGGACUGAGGAACGCAGCAUGCCUUUUGGCCGGGAUUCGUCCACGUACAUGCUUAGGAUGUUGACAUAAUGGCUUUAAACGACCCGUCUUGAAACACGGACCAAGGAGUCUAAC